RNAcentral lists this ribosomal RNA (489 nucleotides) under uncultured bacterium. Its description in RNAcentral is "bacterial SSU rRNA". It matches the Rfam family "Bacterial small subunit ribosomal RNA", at positions 501 to 987 of the family's 1533-position model. The record is from RNAcentral.
CUACGUGCCAGCAGCCGCGGUAAUACGGAGGGUGCGAGCGUUAAUCGGAAUAACUGGGCGUAAAGGGCACGCAGGCGGUGACUUAAGUGAGGUGUGAAAGCCCCGGGCUUAACCUGGGAAUUGCAUUUCAUACUGGGUCGCUAGAGUACUUUAGGGAGGGGUAGAAUUCCACGUGUAGCGGUGAAAUGCGUAGAGAUGUGGAGGAAUACCGAAGGCGAAGGCAGCCCCUUGGGAAUGUACUGACGCUCAUGUGCGAAAGCGUGGGGAGCAAACAGGAUUAGAUACCCUGGUAGUCCAUGCCGUAAACGUUGGGCACUAGGUGUGGGGGACAUUCCACGUUUUCCGCGCCGUAGCUAACGCAUUAAGUGCCCCGCCUGGGGAGUACGGCCGCAAGGCUAAAACUCAAAGAAAUUGACGGGGGCCCGCACAAGCGGCGGAGCAUGCGGAUUAAUUCGAUGCAACGCGAAGAACCUUACCAAGGCUUGACAU